This 366-nucleotide unclassified non-coding RNA is filed under the name Hevea brasiliensis (rubber tree). Lineage: Eukaryota; Viridiplantae; Streptophyta; Magnoliopsida; Malpighiales; Euphorbiaceae. The record is from RNAcentral.
GGCUCUUUGAACAAGAAUGCCAAGGCAAGAUUGGCUACAACAGCAAGAGAGAGGCAGCAAACGAAUAAAAUUUCUGAAUUCACAUUUCUCAUCAUCAAAUAUACAUGAAUAGGAUCAAUUUAGUAGGAAGUUCAGAAAUUGAUGAUAUUAGCUAAACAUCAAGCUAAAUAUCCAAAUGAAAGCAAACAUGCCAUAAGCAGAUCCCAUCUCCACUUUACUUAGAACUCAAGCAUUUUCAAGAUUUCCUAAGCAAGAUUUUGCAGCACAAACCCAGGAUCUUACCUAUGCUUUGCCUCCAAUUUUUCUUUAGUUUCAGAUUCACUCUGCAAUCUGCACCAGUGAUCCCAAAUGGGAAACCCAGCUUUA